Pantherophis guttatus is the source of this 466-nucleotide long non-coding RNA. RefSeq lists it as uncharacterized. The record is from RefSeq and is a predicted model, not a curated record. Lineage: Eukaryota; Metazoa; Chordata; Lepidosauria; Squamata; Colubridae.
GUGUGAAGGAACACAAUGGCUCAUGUGGUUAGAAUGCUGGCUUCCCAAGCAGUAAGCUUGUGUUUAAGACCCGAGUGCUGCUGUGGGGUGGGGUGAGCUCCCGUCCUGCACUCCAGCUCCUGCCAGGGACAUGAAAGGAGCCCCCAACUAGGCUUAUCCUGGGCAAUGAUCUUUUCAACCCAGAAGCGCCUCAGUGCCUCUGACAUGAGUGCGAUACGAUCUCUGAGUGUAUGUCCAGCUUUUCAAGCGAAGGCAUCACAUUGGCAGCUUCGUCCUUGCUGAAGGUGCUGAGGAUCCUGAUGCUGCAGAUCAUUACAACUCAGAGGAAGACAGGAAUGCCAUCUUAGCAUCUUUCCUUUGAACACCAGAGAGUGAUUCUAUAAGUUUGUUCUAUGCCUGUGUUUUGUUGUCUGAGCUUAUAAAGAAAGCAUUUCCAAUUCCCAACGAAGUAUUUUUAUCUCAAGAA